Molecule: long non-coding RNA, 3802 nt
Organism: Frieseomelitta varia
Lineage: Eukaryota; Metazoa; Arthropoda; Insecta; Hymenoptera; Apidae
Exons: 3
Source: RefSeq, a predicted model, not a curated record
ACCUACGCCGCGUGAAUUUGCAAAGGUGUUUGCAUUUUACGCGUCGUUUUCGAUUUUUUUUCUAAUCCACCGAUGAUUGUUUUUUUUUUUUUUUCACCUCCUGGGUCCUCGAUGGAAACUAUGUUAGACGAUCUCAGUUGAUGGCAGGCAAUGAAAACGAGUAAUUGGAACUCGAAGAAGGUUAAUACGCGAUAGAUCGAUUUGACAUGUUUUGGAACAAUGAUACAUACGUUAGAGAACGCACUUCCGUUUUUAAUACAAUUUGAGAUUUUUCAGAGACGGUACGAAUUUUCUACGGACAUUGUUUGAUCAAUCGGUGAUUUCUUUUAUCUACUUGAUCUCCGAUGGAAACUAUCGAUAUUAGACGAUCUCAGUCAACGACAGGACAAUGAAAAUGAGUAAUUGAAACUCGAAGAAGGUUAAUACGCGAUAGAUCGAUUCGACAUGUUUUUGAACAAUGAUACGUACGUUAGAGAACGCACUUCCGUUUUUAAUACAGUUUGAGAUUUUUCAGAGACGGUACGAAUUUUCCACGGAUAGUGUUUGAUCAGUCAGUGAUUUCUUUGUCUCCUUGAUCUUCGAUGGAAAUUAUCCAGACGAAUAUUAGACAAUCUCACAAUCAGUCAACGACAGAACAAUGAAAACGAAUAAUUGGAACUCGAGGAAGGUUAAUACGCGAUAGACAUGUUUUUGAACAAUGAUAUGUACGUUAAAGAACGCACUUCCGUUUUUAAUACGGUUUGAGAUCUUUCAGAGGUACGGUACGAAUUUUCCACGGAUAUUGUUUGAAGAAUAGAAACGAUCACUUACACAGGUAGUACUGCGCAUUUUCCAUUUUCCGUCAUUUCCUGCUUUACGGAGUAAAUUACGAUUGAGUGAUGGACACGAAGCAUCUAAUAAUCGCUGAAUGAAACCCGUAUUUUUCGCGCAAUCAGUGAAUCCAUUAUACCGUGCUCGUGCCACGAACACAGUUUCAAAAGUAGCAAGAAAAGAUUACACGUACGAGUAAGAGAGACAGAUAAUACAGAGAUCAAAUUACGUUGUACGGAGAAGUAACUGAGUAUUUUGAUUUGAGGAGGAAUCCGUAGACCAUUUCGACUCCAUGGAGACUUUGCAGAGUGCGCGUUUACUUUUGAAAGCAUGUAAACACCAUAGGCAUCGAAGACCAUUCUGCCAGUUGGAUGAUUUAUUGGAGUAGAAGUGAUUAAUGCGAGGAACAAUUUUAUUUAAAUUAACUAUAGUGAUCGAUAAUUCGUCGCUAUAUAUAGGUAUUAUUAAGUGGUUUAAUAAAGCGCGCGUUGUUAAAGCGCUGUGGAAGAAGUGUUAUGGAAGGUCUCUGCUGCACACCGUUCUCAUUGCCUUCGUUUCUUUUUUAACAAGACCUUAAUAUAAUAUUCAACUGAAAGAACGGGAGUAAUAGCGAGGAUUUCAGAAACGUUGUUUGAAAAUUACGAAAUCACGAGAAAUGAUUAUUUAGCAAAAGACUUGCCAAACUUCUUGUUUGAUCAGCGUAUAAAAUAGGUAAGUAAUAAAAAUAGGUGACACUUUCGGUAAGAUUUUUUUCGUUGUCGAAAUGAAGCUGGUCGGUGUAAUCGGGACAAAAAUUCCUGUGAAUUCUUGUCAUUGGUUCAAGAGCGGCUCGUCACGCGAACAACGUCGGCUCGCCGCUGUACACCAAACUCUUAUGUAAGGCUCGUCAUGCGAAUGCAUUUGUUUAUUUGGGCUAUUGCUUAGUUGUUUGUAGGGGCCGAUGUUUUUAGGAAAGCGACGAUACCCAUGCGCAACGAUACACACGGUUGUGCGCGUUAGCGCGGAAAUUGAAUUACCUUUGUGCGAUCGCUGCGAUGAAAGCGAGACCGGAUUGUACCAUCUUGCAAACAGUCUUUCAAUUAAACGCAGCUACGAAGUACAAUUUGCACGUCAAAGACGUCUCGAUGGUAACGUUCCCGUUGGUUUUGUUUUAAAAACGCGCUGCCUCAUUGAUAGUGACGCUGCUCGUUAGAAAAAAGAAAGUCGAGGAAGCGCUCGAUGAUGCUCAAUAAUCAAGAGAUCAAUGAGCUGAGAUCAGUGAGACAUGGAUAAUUUUACAAAACAAUUGAGGAAAAAAGAAAUGCAACACGCACUGGACACGAAUCAAGAGAUUAAUGUUUGUUUUAUUUUAGUGCAGUAAAGGAGAGAGGAAAUUUAUUUCCAGUGACAAGAUCGAGUUGAUCGAGAUUAUCUUGAAGGAGUUUUUUUUCUUUUUUUUUUCUAACAAACACCGUGACAAUGGAACGAAGAAAGUUGAAGUGUCCCGUUAGAACGUUCUUCGUGAAAACUUGUUUGCAAUUUCAAGUAAGUCUUGCCGAAGUGCGAAGAAAUAGUUUGUGUUGAGGAGAUGAGCCUGGCUAGCGUGAGAUUAUGUUUGUUCAGUCGAAUCUUGGACGAAACGGCCGCGGCCCGUGAUCAGAAUUUUGAUGGAAAGGCAGUGGCGAUUUCAUGAGUAGACGCGCGUUCGCUUCCUGUUCAAGAUUUACGUGCAACACAAACGCUACGCUUCCGCCCACAUUCAAUGAAAAUUUCCAAGACAUUCGCACGCCAUUUAAUCAAGUUAACCCCAGCCUUCGUUCCCAAUGACGAACGUGAUUUCGUCUCGUUUGUUCCUUUGAUGAUACAAAAUAGAAAAACGUGUACACAUGCAAAAUAGAAGAGUUCAAAGCAUCGAACGUCCAACAGUCUAUUGGAAGGAAUUUGUGCGUAUAUAAAUUCAAAGGAGCAAGGUAGUUUUUUUUUUUAUUUAAGAUUGUUAUCACCUUGAUAUGCCAGAUCGAAUUAAGAUCUCGCACAGAGAAGGUUUCGAUCGUGGGAAGUAUAAAUUGCGUUAAAAUCCGGCUAAUCAAAUUUAAAUGAUAUUCGGCCUUUAUUAAGGUUUCCCGCAAGUUUCGCACAUGUCUUUAACACACACCGUCAUUAUCAUAAUCGUUACAAACACUGACACUGUUGUACAAGCGAGAACAAUUCAAUUAACUGCGUGCAAACUUUUAUCAUUGAAUAUCAAUGGUCUCAUUAUCAUUUAGCUGUUUGUUAUGAUCUCAAUUGUUUUCAUUAUUAGCCACGUAAACGUGCUGUAUAGGCAGAGGCAAAAUCUUACAUACAAAAUUUCGACGAGAUAAAGAAAUUUUAAAAAGAUCUUUAGAGUCUUUAAAAACUAUCGGAUUAACCUUGCUGUCCUGGUCAAUCCUCGGAGAGUACAGGCCCCGCAAACAAGAAAACGAAAGGUAUUAAGAGAAGAAAAAGAGCGUUCGAAAACAAGGUUAAAAACAAGCACGAUGAAAAGAAAAAAAAGGGAGAAUAGAGAAACGGAAUGAAAGAAGAAACGUAAGAAGAGAUGAAAAAUAAGUGGAAGAAGAAAAAAAGAAAAAUGAGUGAGGAAUAAGAAGGGGGCUUUGCUCGCGUCUGAAGACGACCCUCGGUGAAAAUGCAAUUUCGGUUCUUGUCUGGAGACGACGUAGCUACCAUGGGCUCAUCUUCCUGGCGUCGUACCCCCUUCAACAUUGUUGAAGACACAGCCUCUCGUGCACACAGAAGUUCUUCUCUCUGGCGUGUUUCAGGAGAUGAAAGGCUCCCGUGGCUAUCAAAGGGAAAGGGAAGAGAGGCAAAGGCCCCACCCGACAAUGGCCCUGAGCCCCAAGGUUUUCAGGCUCGACGUCCAGGCUUCGGAGGUCCAGUCGUCUGCUAUUCCAAUCGUCGAGCUAUUCCCAUUUUUUCACAUCAGAACUGUUGUGUGUUUUCUAGUCAUCAUCUGGAAUUUUCCUGGGAGGAG